Molecule: unclassified non-coding RNA, 288 nt
Filed under: Hevea brasiliensis (rubber tree)
Lineage: Eukaryota; Viridiplantae; Streptophyta; Magnoliopsida; Malpighiales; Euphorbiaceae
Source: RNAcentral
UAUGCUGCAAGGUAUGUUUUUAUUCUAACAUGAUCCUUUCCUAUGUUUUUAACUUUUUAUUCUAACAUCAUCCUUUCCUCUAUAUUCAGCAUAUACCUCCUGUAUACUUAUGAGCCAACCCCCUCUUUGGCUUUCUUCUUUCAUGUUGUUUGCUGUAAUGUCCCUUAAGGGUCAAUUGCAUAAUUUUUGCUCUGCAUUUGGAGUAGUUAGCACCUGAAAAGGGCUUCUUUCCAGUGAAUCCUCUUGAUCAUGACAUUUUGUGAGUUUUGGAUUUGAUAUUUGAAUCAG